GUCUAUGGAGCCGAAGCCGUCAUCCCGACCGACAUCGAGUUCGACUCGCCGUGCGUCAUGAUGUACACCGAAGCCGAAGCCAGAGAAGCCCGCGAAGAUGGCGUCGACCUGCUCGAAGAAGCACGCCUCCUGGCGCUCAAUCGCUCGGCCAUCUACCAGCAAGGCCUGAGGCACUACCACAGCAGGAAGAUCAAGCCCCUUGCGUUCCGCGAGGGCGACCUCGUCCUCCGACUCGUCCAAGAGCAGGCAGGCCAGCACAAGCUGUCCCCUCCAUGGGAGGGCCCAUUCAUCAUGAGCAAGGCCUUGCACGACCGCAACGCCUACUACCUCAUCGACGCACGCAAGUCAAGGAAGCGCAAGAAGGACACCGCCGGUGAAGAAAUG
RNAcentral lists this ribosomal RNA (384 nucleotides) under Triticum aestivum (bread wheat). Its description in RNAcentral is "partial small subunit ribosomal RNA". Lineage: Eukaryota; Viridiplantae; Streptophyta; Magnoliopsida; Poales; Poaceae. The record is from RNAcentral.